This 429-nucleotide ribosomal RNA is filed under the name uncultured bacterium. Its description in RNAcentral is "bacterial SSU rRNA". It matches the Rfam family "Bacterial small subunit ribosomal RNA", at positions 355 to 776 of the family's 1533-position model. The record is from RNAcentral.
UGGGGAAUAUUGCGCAAUGGGGGGAACCCUGACGCAGCCAUGCCGCGUGAAUGAAGAAGGCCUUCGGGUUGUAAAGUUCUUUCGGUGAUGAGGAAGGUGCUUAGGUUAAUACCCUAAGCAAUUGACGUUAGUCACAGCAGAAGCACCGGCUGACUCCGUGCCAGCAGCCGCGGUAAUACGGAGGGUGCGAGCGUUAAUCGGAAUAACUGGGCGUAAAGGGCACGCAGGCGGAUUUUUAAGUGAGGUGUGAAAGCCCCGGGCUUAACCUGGGAAUUGCAUUUCAGACUGGGAAUCUAGAGUACUUUAGGGAGGGGUAGAAUUCCACGUGUAGCGGUGAAAUGCGUAGAGAUGUGGAGGAAUACCGAAGGCGAAGGCAGCCCCUUGGGAAUGUACUGACGCUCAUGUGCGAAAGCGUGGGGAGCAAACAGG